CGCUAUUCCCUAAGAUUAACCCAUGCAUGUUUUUGACAUUUGAAAAAUGGACUGCUCAGUAAUACUCACUUUAUUUUAUGUAAAUUUUUAAUUAACUACGUUAAAGUGUAGAUAAGAUGUUUACAGUAAGAGUGAGACCUAUCAGCUAGUUGUUAAGGUAAUGGCUUAACAAGGCUGUGACGGGUAACGGUAUUACUUUGUAAUAUUCCGGAGAAGGAGCCUGAGAGACGGCUACUAAGUCUAAGGAUUGCAGCAGGGGCGAAACUUGACCUAUGGAUUUUAUCUGAGGCAGUUAUGGGAAGUAAUAUUAUAUUGUUUCAUAUUUUAAAAGUAUAUGAGGUGAUUAAUUGGAGGGCAAAUCAAGUGCC
Molecule: ribosomal RNA, 368 nt
Filed under: Vairimorpha ceranae
Lineage: Eukaryota; Fungi; Microsporidia; Nosematidae
Description: Nosema ceranae partial small subunit ribosomal RNA
Rfam family: Microsporidia small subunit ribosomal RNA
Source: RNAcentral